GACGAACGCUGGCGGCGUGCUUAACACAUGCAAGUCGAGCGGAGCGGCGAACGGGUGAGUAACGCGUGAGUAAUUGCCCCCCUCCCUGGGAUAACAGUUGGAAACGGCUGCAAAUACCGGAAAGUGGGGGAUGACUCGCGUCCUAUCAGCUUGUUGGUGGGGUAGUGGCUUACCAAGGCGACGACGGGUAGCCGCCCUGAGAGGGCGACCGGCCCCAUUGGGCUGAGAUACGACCCAAAGUCCAACGGGAGGCAGGAGUGGGGAAUAUUGCACAAUGGGGGAAACCCUGAUUCAGCACCGCCGGGUUCGGGAUGACUGCCUUCGGGUUGUAAACCGCUUUCAGCGAAGACGCGGUAGUGGCAGAAGAAGCACCGGCUAACUACGUGCCAGCAGCCGCGGUAAUUC
Molecule: ribosomal RNA, 405 nt
Filed under: uncultured bacterium
Lineage: Bacteria
Description: partial 16S ribosomal RNA
Rfam family: Bacterial small subunit ribosomal RNA
Source: RNAcentral